AUGGUUAACACCAUGUUAGACACAUCGGGUCUUUCCAAGGAAUGGUGGGGGGAGGCGCUAAUGACUGCGUGUCAUGUCCUAAACCGAGUUCCCAGAAAGCAUAAGACCAUGACUCCAUUUGAGGAAUGGGAAAGGAAAAGAUUGAAACUCCCUUACCUACGUACUUGGGGUUGUUUGGCGAAGGUCAAUAUACCAAUUUCCAAGAAGCGCAAGCUUGGACCAAAAACCGUGGAUUGUGUUCUUUUGGGCUAUGCUUUUCAUAGCAUCGGCUAUAGAUUUUUGAUAAUAAAAUCUAAGGUAUCCGACAUGCAUUUUGGUACGAUUAUGGAGUCGAAUGAUGCAACUUUCUUUGAGGACAUAUUUCCUAUGAAGGAUAUGUUGAGUUCAUCAAAUCAGGAGAUACCUACUCCAUCUAGUGAGGAAUUCGCUGUAAUUCCUGAACCCACCAUUGCGAUGGAACACGUUGAGAAUCCUGUUGAGGGUGACAAUGGAACUCCUGUGAGGAGUAAGAGACAGAGGACUGCAAAGUCUUUUGGUGAUGAUUUCAUUGUGUAUCUUGUGGAUGACACACCCAGGACUAUUUCAGAAGCCUAUGCAUCUCCUGAUGCUGACUACUGGAAGGAAGCUGUUCGUAGCGAGAUGGAUUCCAUCUUAGCUAACGGUACCUAG
This 669-nucleotide ribosomal RNA is filed under the name Triticum aestivum (bread wheat). Its description in RNAcentral is "partial small subunit ribosomal RNA". Lineage: Eukaryota; Viridiplantae; Streptophyta; Magnoliopsida; Poales; Poaceae. The record is from RNAcentral.